This 875-nucleotide ribosomal RNA is filed under the name uncultured Planctomycetota bacterium. Its description in RNAcentral is "bacterial SSU rRNA". It matches the Rfam family "Bacterial small subunit ribosomal RNA", at positions 28 to 895 of the family's 1533-position model. Lineage: Bacteria; Pseudomonadati; Planctomycetota. The record is from RNAcentral.
AACGAACGCUGGCGGCGUGGCUAAGACAUGCAAGUCAAACGGACCGUUAAUUUAUUAAUGGUUAGUGGCGAAAGGGUUAGUAAUGGACAGGUAACGUACCCUGUGCUUCGGGAUAGCGUCUGUUCGCCUUCGGGCGAGCUUCCGAAAGGGGCGGUAAUACCGGAAAUACCAUGAACCAUACGGUUCAUGGUCAAAGAUUUAUCGGCAUAGGAGCGGCCUAUCUCCUAUCAGCUUGUUGGUGAGGUAAUGGCUCACCAAGGCUAUGACGGGUAGCGGGACUGAGAGGUUGGCCCGCAACAUCGGGACUGAGACACUGCCCGGACCUCCACGGAGGGCUGCAGUAACGAAUAUUGGGCAAUGGGCAAAAGCCUGACCAGCGACGCCGCGUGCGGGAGGAAGUCCCUCGGGAUGUAAACCGCUGUCAGGGGGAAGAGAGUUCACUUCGGUGGAUUGAUCUAACCCAAAGGAAGUCACGGCUAACUUCGUGCCAGCAGCCGCGGUAAGACGAAGGUGGCUAGCGUUGUUCGGUAUCACUGGGCUUAAAGGGUGUGUAGGCGGGAAAGUUAGCAUUUUGUGAAAGCCCUCGGCUUAACCGGGGAAUUGCGAAAUGUACUGCUUUUCUUGAGGCAAGUAGGGGUGCAUGGAACUCUUGGUGGAGCGGUGGAAUGCGUAGAUAUCAAGAGGAACGCCAGCGGUGAAAACGGUGCACUGGGCUUGUCCUGACGCUGAGACACGAAAGCGUGGGGAGCGAACGGGAUUAGAUACCCCGGUAGUCCACGCUGUAAACGAUGCCUACUAGGUUGUGGAAGUUCUGACGCUUGCACGGCCGAAGCAAAAGUGCUAAGUAGGCCGCCUGGGGAGACGGUCGCAAGGCU